GGCUGCCAUAAUUGAUUAGCAUCUGAGAAGGGAUAAAAUAGAGGCAGCGCGUCGCUAACAAUUUGUUAACUCACCAGAUACUUUCAUUAUUGGUUUUGGCUUUUGCAAAACGCCCUCUUCUUUCUUUCUUCCUCCCAUUCUCAAGUGUACUACACUUCUCUCUCAGCAUCUCUGUUGCUUGUCACAUUUAUCCGCAGAAAUGGAAGAUACUUCCGUUUUGAACUCCAAUCAGAUGCCGACGAUCGUGGUCACCAACGACGAUGGUAUUGACGCACCAGGACUCCGUUCUCUGGUUCGCGUCCUUGUCUCCACUCACCGCUUCCACGUCCUGGUUUGUGCGCCUGAUUCGGAAAAAUCCGCCGUCAGUCAUUCUAUUACUUGGCGCCAUCCUAUAUCUGCUAGGCGAGUAGAUAUUGAAGGAGCAACAGCCUUUGCAGUUUCUGGCACUCCGGCUGAUUGUGCUUCUUUAGGAGUCUCCAAAGCACUCUUUCCGUCAAUUCCUGAUCUGGUAAUCAGUGGUAUAAACAUGGGGAGCAACUGUGGCUAUCAUAUUGUUUACUCUGGUACUGUUGCUGGUGCUCGGGAGGCCUUCUUCAAUGAUAUACCUUCUAUCUCCAUUUCGUAUGAGUGGGUUGGAGGUAAAAGCACUAUCCAGGACUUCACACUUGCAGCUGAAGCUUGCAUACCGAUCAUAAGUGCUGUGCUUGUUGAGAUUAAGAAUCAAACUUAUCCUUCACGCUGUUUUCUGAAUAUAGAUUUGCCAACAAGUGUUGCUAAACAUAAGGGUUAUAAGCUGACUAAGCAGGGUAAGAGCAUAUUCAGGAUGGGGUGGAAGCAAGUUACUUCUGGAACUGAAGGAGGGAAAAUGUUAUCAACAAUGACAAUGGACACAAAUGCAGCUGUGCAAACAGAAACUGGUGCAUCAAAUGUAGCCCAAGAACAAAUGUGGUUUAGAAGAGAAGUAAAGGGAGCGCAAGUUGAUGAUACUGAUACCGAUCACAAAUUUCUUCAGGAAGGAUAUAUUACUGUAACUCCCCUUGGUGCCCUCUCUCAAGUAGAGACUAGCUGCCUAGAGUACUUUAAUGAUUGGUUGCCACGCACGGUUGACCUCUCAUCUCCAUCAGCCUUAUAAUGCUGGGACCCCUCACGUGGUAAAACACCAUGGCAUAACCUUGUUCGUUUCAUUUAUUAAGGCUUGACUAUACGACAUAAUAAAAGACGAUAACUGUUGGUUCGGGGCUAAUUGAAAGGCUUUUCAAGGCUGAAACACUGCUGAAGAAUUUCUAUGGAUUCCUAUGGAAAGGGGAGAGUUUGUCAUCAGUUACCGUCUCCUGCUUGCCAGGUUUUAUAUAAUUGCACUCAUUUUCCAAUUAGGAAUGUCAUAAAUUCCUAUCCAGAAAAAGUGUCAUAAAAGCUUUAUGGAACUCAUGAUUUCUGAUUUAUUGAGAAGCUUUUCACCAAUUUGAUAAUAACUCUUGCAUUUGCUUUCAAGUUAUUGCAAGUUCCAAUAGAACUCGAUAUGUACGGUGGCCAAUAUAGUCAUUAGUGUUGCUAAUAUUUACCAGCUUUUAUAUCACCGAACCUAUUAAUGAAGUCUUUUAGAAUAGUUCACAAAUAUAAUUGGUUUGGGGGUCAAAUGUCACUAAAAGUUUUUAAUUAAUAAAUAAAUGGCUUUAUUCUUUUGAAAAAGAAAAAAGAAAAUUAUGAUCAUAACUGACUCGAGUUAUACAAAACUAUUAUAAAUACCACAAGAUUCUAAACUUUUUAUUAUUGGAAGCCUUGAGAAACUGAUAGUGGCAUGAAGAGCAACCUCGUCAACAGAUUAAUGUUCUCCUGCUGACUUCUUAUUUUUUUAUUGCAUUAGAAAACCCGUCGGACAACAGAGCUGCAACAGAGCUACAAGCAACAAACUUGAACAUAAUAAAAGCCUAACAAAGCAUAGGAACCCACAAAGUCCACAACCCAACAUUCAGAUUGGACACGUUGCAAACAUGCAGGUACUCACUGCCACAGAUGCCAGACUCACUGUGCUGUCGCUUGCCUUGAGAAUCAUGCACAAAGUCAAAACCGCCCAACCAAGCUUGCAUUAAUAGAAGAAGAAAACAAGCAGAGCAAACACGCUGGGAAAACAAAUAGAAACAGGCACAGCCGCAAAAACUGUUCAAACAAUCAUUCAAAAUUGACACUACAACAUAACAACACUUCAAUAUCGCUCAUUGACCCAGCAUCCAUACAAACCAUAGGCUUCCCACUCUGAUCCGGGCAAUCCAGAAUUGUCCAUGGCAUGAAAUGAAGAAGAGUGUUGGCUCAUGACAGUUGCAGUCUAUAAUAGUCAUGGAUCAGUUUUAAGGAGACAUCAUGCUCUAGCGCCGAAAUAUUUACUGGACUCCAGCACCUCCAUCAACACCAGCGGCAUCCAGAAAAAAGAAAAAAAAAGAAA
Molecule: RNA transcript, 2440 nt
Organism: Manihot esculenta (cassava)
Lineage: Eukaryota; Viridiplantae; Streptophyta; Magnoliopsida; Malpighiales; Euphorbiaceae
Gene name: 5'-nucleotidase SurE
Exons: 10
Source: RefSeq, a predicted model, not a curated record